AGAGUUUGAUCCUGGCUCAGAUUGAACGCUGGCGGCGUGCCUAACACAUGCAAGUCGAACGCCCUGCGCAAGCAGGGAGUGGCGGACGGGUGAGGAACACGUGGGUCAUCUACCUUGGGGUGAGGAAUACCGGCGAGAAAUCGCCGACAAUACCGCAUACGCUUGGAGACAAGCAAAGUCGUAAGACGCCUUGAGAUGAG
This 200-nucleotide ribosomal RNA is filed under the name uncultured bacterium. RNAcentral describes it as "partial 16S ribosomal RNA". It matches the Rfam family "Bacterial small subunit ribosomal RNA", at positions 8 to 229 of the family's 1533-position model. The record is from RNAcentral.